AACGCUAGCUACAGGCUUAACACAUGCAAGUCGAGGGGCAGCAUGGUCUUAGCUUGCUAAGGCCGAUGGCGACCGGCGCACGGGUGAGUAACACGUAUCCAACCUGCCGUCUACUCUUGGACAGCCUUCUGAAAGGAAGAUUAAUACAAGAUGGCAUCAUGAGUCCGCAUGUUCACAUGAUUAAAGGUAUUCCGGUAGACGAUGGGGAUGCGUUCCAUUAGAUAGUAGGCGGGGUAACGGCCCACCUAGUCUUCGAUGGAUAGGGGUUCUGAGAGGAAGGUCCCCCACAUUGGAACUGAGACACGGUCCAAACUCCUACGGGAGGCAGCAGUGAGGAAUAUUGGUCAAUGGGCGAGAGCCUGAACCAGCCAAGUAGCGUGAAGGAUGACUGCCCUAUGGGUUGUAAACUUCUUUUAUAAAGGAAUAAAGUCGGGUAUGUAUACCCGUUUGCAUGUACUUUAUGAAUAAGGAUCGGCUAACUCCGUGCCAGCAGCCGCGGUAAUACGGAGGAUCCGAGCGUUAUCCGGAUUUAUUGGGUUUAAAGGGAGCGUAGAUGGAUGUUUAAGUCAGUUGUGAAAGUUUGCGGCUCAACCGUAAAAUUGCAGUUGAUACUGGAUAUCUUGAGUGCAGUUGAGGCAGGCGGAAUUCGUGGUGUAGCGGUGAAAUGCUUAGAUAUCACGAAGAACUCCGAUUG
RNAcentral lists this ribosomal RNA (694 nucleotides) under uncultured bacterium. RNAcentral's name for it is "bacterial SSU rRNA". It matches the Rfam family "Bacterial small subunit ribosomal RNA", at positions 32 to 715 of the family's 1533-position model. The record is from RNAcentral. RNAcentral also lists the same sequence under 1 other name.